AUUCAUCUCGCCUCUUGCCUGUGAUGCUACAUGCUCCCCCUAUUUCUCGGAAUGCUUACCAUAGGCCCCACAAUGCUGGAUGCCGUACAGAUCAAGCCACCCCUGUUCUCUGCGAUGGGACACUCUAAGAAGGAGGUGUCACCCACAUUGUCAUCCCUGGUUUUCAAGUUAACUGCCAUGACGGACUUCAUGAUGAAUUUGUGGAUUUUCUCACAAGCCCUCACACCUCUGUCCUUUGAGCAUUUUGUCAACAGUGGACAACUGCUGUGAUUCUUAACACAUUUAAAAAAAAAAAUGUGAUCGCCUGUAGUCAAGUUUCCCUGCUUUGGAAGGGAAGGGGAUCCAUUUUUCAACUCAGAAUUAGAGGAUGAACCUGUUAACAGGGAGAGGCUGAGAAGAGAAAAAAUGGGGAGUUAAAUUCAGCUCUAAACGCUAUGGAGAAUCAAUAAAUAUCGACAGGCAAGGGGGCAGAAGGAAGGAGAGAGGUUUUGCCAACCUCAACUGAUAUCUGUUAAUAAUACCAAACAGCAAUCUGUCAUCAGCCUGGCAACACUGGAUUUUCCCCAAGGAAAAUCCAGGGUCCCCUCCCAGCAGUUCUUGGAGAAAGAGCUUAGAGUUCUGAGUUCCUGGGAGAGGAUGGACUGUAGGCGGGAUCAGAGUACUGAGAUCCUGACAAUUAAACCUGCUUACAUUUUCCCUGCGUGCAGACAUGGUGUUUGGAAACAGCAACCUCCAGUCAUCUUGCUUAGCUCUUUGGGGUUCUGGUCAUACAUACAUCUUUCUAAACUUCAAAAGUCUAUGCAAGCACACUGACCUGGCAGGUUAUUUGAAUUCUUGUUCUGGUUUACAAGUCUUUCUAAGACAUUUACACCAGAGCUAGAAGAAAGAGACCGGAUUUUGGAAAUUGCUCACAGGUUCGAGAGAGGAUUACCGGAGCACAAGAGCCGGGCGGAGGUUGUCUACUUUUUCUGCUAAAUUGCACAGUAGAUUCUUUCAGACCUUGAGGAAGAGAUUAGAGAAAGAUAAAUCAGAGUGUUAUAACCCUGUGCUGAGUCACAGCUCUGAGGUUCUUUUA
RNAcentral lists this long non-coding RNA (1075 nucleotides) under Homo sapiens (human). Its description in RNAcentral is "non-protein coding lnc-STARD13-7:2". Lineage: Eukaryota; Metazoa; Chordata; Mammalia; Primates; Hominidae. The record is from RNAcentral.